GCUCCUGCUUACGCUAAAGCUGCGUAAGUUCAGUUGAGCCUGAAAUUUAAGUCAUACUAUCUAGCUUAAUUUUCGGUCAUUUUUGAUAGUGUAGCCUUGCGUUUGACAAGCGUUGAGGUGAAAUAAGGUCUUAGCCUUGCUUUUGAGUUUUGGAAGAUGAGCGAAGUAGGGUGAAGUAGUCAUCUUUUCUAAGCAUGUAGAGGUCUUUGUGGGAUUAUUUUUGGACAGGGGUUCGAUUCCCCUCGCUUCCACCA
This 254-nucleotide transfer-messenger RNA is filed under the name Campylobacter coli. RNAcentral's name for it is "partial transfer-messenger RNA". It matches the Rfam family "transfer-messenger RNA", at positions 102 to 374 of the family's 374-position model. From Rfam's summary of the family: Bacterial tmRNA, also known as 10Sa RNA or SsrA, is named for its dual tRNA and mRNA-like properties. Its role is to liberate the mRNA from a stalled ribosome. The record is from RNAcentral. Lineage: Bacteria; Pseudomonadati; Campylobacterota; Epsilonproteobacteria; Campylobacterales; Campylobacteraceae.